RNAcentral lists this ribosomal RNA (1358 nucleotides) under uncultured bacterium. RNAcentral describes it as "bacterial SSU rRNA". It matches the Rfam family "Bacterial small subunit ribosomal RNA". The record is from RNAcentral.
GAGUUUGAUCCUGGCUCAGGACGAACGCUGGCGGCGUGCUUAACACAUGCAAGUCGAGCGAGGCCCCGCCUUCGGGUGGGUGUCCUAGCGGCGAACGGGUGAGUAACACGUGGGCAACCUGCCCCCGGCUCUGGGAUAACUCCAAGAAAUUGGGGCUAAUACCGGAUAUGACCGCUGACCGCAUGGUCUGGUGGUGGAAAGAUUUAUCGGCUGGGGAUGGGCCCGCGGCCUAUCAGCUUGUUGGUGGGGUAGUGGCCUACCAAGGCGACGACGGGUAGCCGGCCUGAGAGGGUGACCGGCCACACUGGGACUGAGACACUGCCCAGACUUCUACGGAAGGCUGCAGUCGAGAAUCUUCCCCAAUGGCCGAAAGGCUGAGGGAGCGACGCCGCGUGCAGGAAGACGCUCUUCGGAGUGUAAACUGCUUUUGUUUGGGAACAACUCUGAGUGUACCGAACGAAUAAGGGGCUGCUAACUUCGUGCCAGCAGCAGCGGUAAUACGAAGGCCCCGAGCGUUAUCCGGAUUUAUUGGGCGUAAAGCGUUAAUAGGCGGCUUGGUAAGUACCUCAUCAAAUUCUGGGGCUCAACCCCAGAGCCGCGGGGUAGACUGCCCGGCUUGAGGCUGGGAGAGGUGAGCGGAACUAGCGGUGUAGUGGUAAAAUGCGUUCAUAUCGCUAGGAACACCGAAGGCGAAGGCAGCUCACUAGAACAGAUCUGACGCUGAAUAACGAAAGCGUGGGGAGCGAAUGGGAUUAGAUACCCCAGUAGUCCACGCCCUAAACGAUGAAUACUAGGGAUUGGGAGUUUCGACCCUCUCAGUCUCGUUCAAGCUAACGCGUUAAGUAUUCCGCCUGGGAAGUACGGCCGCAAGGCUAAAACUCAAAGGAAUUGACGGGAGCCCGCACAAGCGGUGGAGCAUGUGGUUUAAUUCGACGACAAACGAGGAACCUUACCAGGUCUAGACAUUCAGCUGCACGCCCCCAGAAACGGGGGAAGCCUUCGAGGGUGCUGAACAGGUGCUGCAUGGCUGUCGUCAGCUCGUGGCGUGAGCUGUUGGGUUAAGUCCUCUAACGAGCGCAACCCCUGUCGAGUGUUAAAAUAUUCGCUCGAGACUGCCGGCGAUAAGCCGGAGGAAGGAAGGGAUGACGUCAAGUCAGCAUGGUCCUCUGACGACCUGGGCCACACACGUGCUACAAUGGGGUGUAACAAUGGGUUGCCAAACCGCGAGGUGGAGCCAAUCCCACCAAACCACCCCUCAGUUCGGAUCGAGGGCUGCAACUCGCCCUCGUGAAGCUGGAAUCGCUAGUAAAUGCGCAUCAGCUAUGGCGCAUUGAUACGUUCUCGGGCUUUGUACACAC